This 468-nucleotide ribosomal RNA is filed under the name uncultured bacterium. RNAcentral's name for it is "partial 16S ribosomal RNA". It matches the Rfam family "Bacterial small subunit ribosomal RNA", at positions 28 to 507 of the family's 1533-position model. The record is from RNAcentral.
GACGAACGCUGGCGGCGUGCUUAACACAUGCAAGUCGUACGGAAAGGCCCUGCUUUUGUGGGGUGCUCGAGUGGCGAACGGGUGAGUAACACGUGAGUAACCUGCCCUUGACUUUGGGAUAACUUCAGGAAACUGGGGCUAAUACCGGAUAGGAGCUCCUGCUGCAUGGUGGGGGCUGGAAAGUUUCGGCGGUUGGGGAUGGACGCGCGGCUUAUCAGCUUGUUGGUGGGGUAGUGGCUUACCAAGGCUUUGACGGGUAGCCGGCCUGAGAGGGUGACCGGCCACAUUGGGACUGAGGUACGGCCCGGACUGCUACGGGAGGCAGCAGUGGGGAAUAUUGCACAAUGGGCGGAAGCCUGAUGCAGCAACGCCGCGUGCGGGAUGACGGCCUUCGGGUUGUAAACCGCUUUCGCCUGUGACGAAGCGUGAGUGACGGUAAUGGGUAAAGAAGCACCGGCUAACUACGUG